This 69-nucleotide transfer RNA is filed under the name Marmota monax (woodchuck). RNAcentral describes it as "tRNA.Glu". Lineage: Eukaryota; Metazoa; Chordata; Mammalia; Rodentia; Sciuridae. The record is from RNAcentral.
GAUCUAACUCAGUUGGUAGAGUGCUUGCCUUUCAUUCACAAGACCCUGGGUUAGAUCCCCAGCAAAACA